RNAcentral lists this ribosomal RNA (497 nucleotides) under uncultured bacterium. RNAcentral's name for it is "partial 16S ribosomal RNA". It matches the Rfam family "Bacterial small subunit ribosomal RNA", at positions 28 to 507 of the family's 1533-position model. The record is from RNAcentral.
GAUGAACGCUGGCGGCGUGCCUAAUACAUGCAAGUCGAGCGAACAGACGAGAAGCUUGCUCCUCUGAUGUUAGCGGCGGACGGGUGAGUAACACGUGGAUAACCUACCUAUAAGACUGGGAUAACUUCGGGAAACCGAAGCUAAUACCGGAUAAUAUUUUGAACCGCAUGGUUCAAAAGUGAAAGACGUUCUUGCUGUCACUUAUAGGUGGAUCCGCGCUGCAUUAGCUAGUUGGUAAGGUAACGGCUGACCAAGGCAACGAUGCGUAGCCGACCUGAGAGGGUGAGCGGCCACACUGGAACUGAGACACGGCCCAGACUCCAACGGGAGGCAGCAGUAGGGAAUCUUCCGCAAUGGGCGAAAGAAUGACGGAGCAACGCCGCGUGAGUGAUGAAGGUCUUCGGAUCGUAAAACUCUGUUAUUAGGGAAGAAAAGAUGUGUAAGUAACUAUGCACAUCAUGACGGUACCUAAUCAGAAAGCCACGGCUAACUACGUG